AGUGAACGCUGGCGGUAGGCCUAACACAUGCAAGUCGAACGGCAGCACAGUAAGAGCUUGCUCUUACGGGUGGCGAGUGGCGGACGGGUGAGGAAUACAUCGGAAUCUACUUUUUCGUGGGUGAGAACGUAGGGAAACUUACGCUAAUACCGCAUACGACCUACGGGUGAAAGCAUGGGAUCUUCGGACCUUGCGCGAGUGAAUGAGCCGAUGUCGGAUUAGCUAGUUGGCGGGGUAAAGGCCCACCAAGGCGACGAUCCGUAGCUGGUCUGAGAGGAUGAUCAGCCACACUGGAACUGAGACACGGUCCAGACUCCUACGGGAGGCAGCAGUGGGGAAUAUUGGACAAUGGGCGCAAGCCUGAUCCAGCCAUACCGCGUGGGUGAAGAAGGCCUUCGGGUUGUAAAGCCCUUUUGUUGGGAAAGAAAAGCAGCAGGUUAAUACCCCGCUGUUCUGACGGUACCCAAAGAAUAAGCACCGGCUAACUUCGUG
RNAcentral lists this ribosomal RNA (492 nucleotides) under uncultured bacterium. RNAcentral's name for it is "partial 16S ribosomal RNA". It matches the Rfam family "Bacterial small subunit ribosomal RNA", at positions 29 to 507 of the family's 1533-position model. The record is from RNAcentral.